Molecule: long non-coding RNA, 6715 nt
Organism: Camelus dromedarius (Arabian camel)
Lineage: Eukaryota; Metazoa; Chordata; Mammalia; Artiodactyla; Camelidae
Exons: 7
Source: RefSeq, a predicted model, not a curated record
GUGGGGCGCUGAGGAGACACCCCCUCCCCCCAACCCGAGACGCGUUGCCGCCGCUACGCGGGCGCUCUGGCCCACUCGGGCCUCUGACUACCUCAGCCUGGUCCCCUGUCGCUUUUCUGUGGUGUCCCCUGCGCAUUCACGUUUCGCUGUCAACCCCAGCGCGCUCCCAAUACCCCGCGCACACGGGUGCACGCACGCUCAGCGUCUUUUGCACGGUGUGUACAGACUUAGCGUGCUCCUGCUGAAGGCCCCCCGCGCUGCACGUCAAAGCUGAGGCCCGACCUGCCCUCGCCUGGCCUCCCGCCCCGGCCCGGCGAACCCCCUGGCCACCUGUCCUCGCGCACGGAAGUGCGUCGCGGGAGGAAAAGCGCCUCCCUUCGGUCCCGGGAGGCAAACCGCCCCGCAGUUCACGAGAAAGAAAACCUUUCACCACAACCCUAGAAGCAGCUUCAAGGCGAGCUUUCAAAGCUGGAGAAGAAGCCAUUACACUUUUAAAAACUGAUGAAUACUGAGGCCCAAUCUGCAUGAGAUUUUGUAAAGCAAAGUCAUGCAGAUUUCUCAUUAUGGAAGUUGCUGAUCCCAGAGCAUUCUCAUCCAAAAGGAAGGAAAUGAGGAUGGGCAGAAGACAGGCCACCAGCUGAGAGCCUGGAAAGUGAACAAAUGAUUUUUUCCACAAUAGAGGAUACUAACGAGUAAAUGUAUGGGUACGAAACAGCUGGAUUUGGAUACUGAAAAAUGGAAAGCAGGAGCUGAUAGGUCUUGAUUUGUACCUAAUAAGAGCCACCACUUUGAGGCUGCUACAGAAAGCUCUUGUGAGGCCAGAAGCAAUAAACAGGACAGAAGAACAAAAGGAGAAGACUAUACAUCAAAGAUACAAAUCACCCUUUAUUUGAUUCACUGUGAUGAUAUCUGAAUGAUCAUUUUUGUAAACAGGUUGUUAAAAUUCUAAUUCUUCCAAGGAAUAGUAGUUUAGCUACUGACAAUAUCCAAGCUAACAUGAAGAGGUGAAUGAGAGGAUGUGAAGCCAUACCCACAGAUGUUUCACUUGUACUACACACAACAGAUUCUCAGAAUGACACAGACACAUAAGCAAUAAUUUAAAAAAUAAUGAUGUCGUGUGAUUAAUUUGGUGUAUGGGUUAACAUUCACCUUCUGCACUUCGUCUUUUCUCCUUCACAUGUUCUUGAGCUGCACAGAUAAUCUGCCUGACCACUUCAAGAGAAGCCAACUGAAUGGAAGGUGAUUCUCGGGUCAAAAUUACUCGAUGUAGUACAUUCAACAACUCGAUACCCAAGUCCUAUCACAGAAAAUAUUUGGGUGAGACCAUAUUGAAAAAUUGCAUACUUAAAAAAACACACACACACAAUGUUAUAUGCCAUGAAAAAAUUCAGAGAAAGAUAAUGUAACAGAUGGCUCACAAAAAAAUAAAGAUGUUAGGGCAGUAAAGUUAUGUAACACGUGCUCCACUUUAAACCAACUCCAGAUUGGACAAACAGGUUUUUGUCCAAUUUUCUGAGAGAUGGCACUAGGACAAAAGAUCACUUUCACACAUGUCCUAAACUGGGAAAACAAACAAGGAAAUUUCCAAAACAAGAUGAAAAAUGUGGCUAAAAGAAUACAAGGACUGCCAUGUAGAUUCCCAGAUUUAUAUUAAGAUUUCUAGUACUAAUAAAGAAUGAUGGCAAAGCAUGACAUUAAGAGGGUAAGUUAUGAAGCACAGAAUAAAUCUCUCGCUAAAGAAUAAAAUACACAAGCACUAUUUCAUUUUCCCCUUUUCUUUUGCAUUGGUUACUGUGGUGGCUUUCUUUCAUCUUUGAAAAUAAAGAGUAAAUCUAUCAUUAUAAUACUUGUUUUAACAUAUAGAAUAAACAAGAACAGAAAGUUUAAAAUGUAUUCAGGUACACUCCAAGUCAGGCAGGAACCUAAUACUUUAAACCUAAUAAAGAAUAGUGGUAGUAAGUUAAAUAAUAGUCUAUAUAGAAAGGAAAUUAUACCAUUCAUUUUUCUUAGCAUCUGAGAGCCAAUUUAAUACACAAUUCAAUAUACUGGUAAUACAUGAUGCUUAGGGUGCCUGCCCAAUACAGAGUUGCUCUUGGGAAAGCAGUUAAAGGAAGUGCCAUACUUUGUACAGUGAUCCUUUUACCAUGGUCACAACUGGGUCUGGUAUUAGUGUCUGACUCCACCUACAGGCUAGCCAGUCAUCUCUUAAAAAGACGUGAUGGAGAACUCAGCCAAAAGGAAUACUAUGUAAUCUACAGGAGCUACAUGAACCAAGACAACGCUCUCUUGGGGAAAUGAAGUGUAAGAUGCAGAUGUGUAUGAAGGGCAGGGUGCACGGAAGCAGAAAGAGACACGGACAGUACAACGCAGAACCUUCCCAUCAUUGCAGAAAGUUCAACCGGAAUGCUGCUACACAGAGUGGCUGGCUGGUGACAGCAGAAGAAGUUGGGAGGCAAAUUCGGAAGGCAAAGUUAAGAGAGCAAAAUCCUGAAGCGCAGAGAGCCAGAGCCUACUCAGUGUGCUGAGAUCUGCAUGGACUAAGUCAAGCAGCCCGUCUGAUGAACUCGACCCAUUUCUGACACUCUCUUCUGAACAGGCAGCAGUCUUCAAAGGUUGGUUGUGGGUUUUAUGUCUCUCUACAGCAAUUAUGUAGACCUGUAUAAAGGUACUUUAUAAAUAGGAAAAUCUUGUACCCACUGAAAAGAUGCGACAAUAUUUUUAUCUUGCUGAAGAUGCAGACUUAUCUUUGAACCUCCUGGACUUAAAAUGCAUCGUGAUACCAAGAAGGUAUACAUGUGGAGCCAGUCAUAUACACAAAACUAAGGUAGAAAAAUCCAAAAGUAUUAUCUCAUGAGAUACAUUAGGGAAAAUAAACAUUUGACAAAUACGCUGCCACUGUGAAGUUUACAAUUAUGACCGCUACAACUAAAUGAUCACAGUGUUCUUUUUCACUCGGCCUAGUUAUAGCCUUGUAACCCAUCUCAACAUAUGGCUCCAGAUGCCAUCUCUGAACUGAAAGAAGCUGAAAUACUGAGUAUUUUUUUCAAAUGUUACCACCAAAUCACUACAAAAAGUCUACCUAAACAGAUUUAACAUGGACCACUUACAGGACUAUAUAAUGUUAAAGUAUUCAACACAGCACAUAAUGUGUACUACCCCUUGAUUCAAAACUCUAUAAUCCAAAAAGCUCUGAAAACUGUAAGUUUGUGGGAAAUCAAUCUUGUGACAAAACUGAAUUAUGUGAGGCUAUUUAUAGUCUCUUUCCAACACAAUGUGACUAUUCAAACAUUUCACACAGACAUAUUAAUGUGUUUGAUUACAUUCUAUUAAACUGUCCCAGACAUCCUGGAUGGAUACGUGGAAUAUGCACUAUAACUUUCUGAAAAUCCCCCAAAUUUUGAAUUGCAAAUAUAUCUGGCUCCAAGGAUUUCAGAUACUUAUGGGCCUCAAGUACAUGGAACUUGUUGGUCAGUCAUUAUUUUUACUAAGGAUGGAAUAGGAGAAAUUAAUGGCUUAUGCAAGAGUACAGAGAUUCAAAUCAUAAAGGACACUAUGUAAAUAAAGCUAUUUAUAAAAUACGUUACAGAAAUUACAGAAUUUGUUUGCUCUACUUUUAGUAUAUAUUUAACACACUUAGAAUUCACUGUUAAAGAACAUUAGAUCCAACUUAUUAAAUCUAGGUAGAAAUACUUCCUGAGAUUGUCAACAUUAAAUAAUGACAAAAAUAGACACUCGACAAUCUUCUGGUUUUAAUCAGCUCUACUGAAGGAAAUCUUUUCUUACAUAGUGGUUAACUCUCUCAGUUGCAAUCUGAAACUAAAUACUUCUUUAAAGUGAUAUAUGAACCGAGAAUGGCCAAGUCUGGUGACUGCUAAAGCUGGAUGAUGGGUAUGUGGGUUCAUUAUAUACUAUUCUACUUCUGUAUAUGUGUAAACACUUCCAUUAUACAUUUUAAAAUUAUAUAACUUUCUUCCUGAUUAAAAACUAAGGAAAAGUUAAAUAUUUUCUUCUAAGAAUUUUUUUAAUCUUAGAAAAUAAAAUGACUGACUUAAUAAUCUAAAGUCAUCCUAUGAAAGAGCAUUAAAAAAUAUUAAAGUAUGUGUUAUAGAGUUGACAGAAUAUACAAGUAACCCCAUACUUCUAAUAAUUCAGGUUUCAAUAAAAGCUGAUUUCCAUUGACUAUUAUAAAGUCUCUCUGGCUCAUGACUGCUCCUGCUUAAAGCAAUAGGUAACAGACACUGGAGGACACUUUAGAAUGCUUGGCCAAAACAUCAAUUAAAAUAUAAAUAAAUCUCAUGUUGAAAGACUUCCAUUAACCUUAAACAUAGACUUAUUUGUGUUUCAAAUAGCUAAUUUCAGUUUAUGGUCUAAGUUAUUAACAACUUCCAAAAUUCUGGUCAUAAACUGAGAAGUACUAACCUCUGCCCAGGCUUUUAGCACAGCUAAGAUCUCCAUGGUAGAAGCACUUUCAUUAUAUAAGUGACUUAGAGCUUCUUUUCCAACCUGUAUUUUUGUUAAUGAUGAAACAAGCAACUGAUGAACUCUUCGGAGAUCAUUAAGGUCACUUACAACUCCACUUGCUAUCCAGGCACUGCAAACCUAGUUUUUAAGAAAGUCAAAAGUUAUAUUUAAAAUUAUAAAUAACCUCCUCGUGAGUUCAGCGGAGCUCACCCACAUCUCAGAAAUCUGGUCACUGAAAUCAUUUGCUAUCAAGAAGCCCAACGGGAUGUUGCUGAUAAUGACAGUCAACAGCCAGCACUUCAAAAGGGAAGGAAGACUAAAGGCUGAAAAAAUGAAACCAGUGCCAGCAAGUUUAUGAAUCAGAGUUCCAGAUGCUGCUAACAUGGAGAAAUGAAGCCAUUUUCAUGAAUGUUUGGAUUAACAUUUGAAUUAUAUAUCUCCAAUCUUGAUUAUUUCAUCUUAUUUUAAAAUCAGGGAUUAACUUGCAUGGUUCUUUCUUUGAAGAGAGAUAAAUUUACCUAACAUAUAAAACCUCAAUGAAGAUUGAUUCUUUUGAAGAUAUUUUUAAUUUUUAAAACAAAAGAUCAUUAAUAAUGCUCCAGUGCAAAAAAUUUACUCAAUUAACACAGGCUGUCUGUGGUUUUGCUGGGUGUUACCAUAUUUCUCCUUUACUAGAAAAAAUUAAUUUUUCCUCUUCCAUCUAUUGAUUUAAUUUUCCUCUCAUUUCACAAAAGUUUUCAAGUGGCUAACAGCAAGAACACAUAAUAAAAUGAUGAUAAAUUAGAUUCAGUACAACAGUUAGCACAGUUCUCUGAAUAUUUAAGAUAUUCAAACAUUUCCUAAACACAACUGAAUUAAAAAAAAUUGAAAGAACUGAGUUAAGAUUUUUCCAUUAUGUUUAUAAUUAUUUUAAUUCAUGCCAGUUCUGCUUUUAAUUAUUUCAGGCCAUUUGGGGCUGGAUAUUGAAUGUCUGACAACCACUCCAAGAAAAGCAACUACUUAAAACUGUAUUUUAUGUGGCUCUUAGAUAUAUGAAAAAAUGUUCAACUUCACUUGAAAUACAAAUCUAAACUAUCCUGAGAUCCUUUUUAUUCCAUCACAUACACAAAAAUUUCAGUUUGACAACUCACAAUGCUCCUGGGAUUCCGGGAAAAUAGGUACUUGCAUAUGGUGCUGGGAGGAGUUUAAAUUGAUAAACUCCAGUAAUGUACCCUUUAUCCCAGCAAUUCAGUUUUGAGGAGUGUAUCUCACAGAUGUGUUUGGACCCCUUGAAAUAACCUAUACAGAAAGAAGGUCAUUCACCACAGCACUAUUUGUAAUAACAAAAGAUGAAAACAUCUGUACUUCCAUUAUUAGGGAACUGGUGACGUACCCAUAUACCAGAUUACUGUGCAGUCAUAAGAAAGAGAAAGUUCUCUCAAUUUAAAAAGUAAAGGGAAAGAGGCAGCUGAGAUUAAUGCUUAGGCAACUAAAAUGUAAAACCUUGGUAUCAAAUACUAACUGUAGAGUUACUUCCUAAGAGAGGGUUUUACUUCUUAAAAUUCAUCUUUUUAACCAUUUACCUGACAUGCUUUGGCAGUGACAUCAGGUGGCGUCUCUGAAGUGAAGGCAGGUCUAAGUGCCGCUCCUACCUGGCAAGAAAUUACACGCUCAUUCAAGCAUCAAUAAGAUGUGAUGGAGCCUGCUAACCAACUGGUGAACUGCUCUGGACGCCCUAACUGCCAGCCACCAGAAGCUGCCUCUGAAUAAUAAUGAGAGGCAUCCUUGGAUGAAUGCUGCUGAAGAUUACAUGUGAUGCGUAUAAUGUAAUGUGGGAUGAUUUUGUUAUCUUCCUUGUUCCUCCUACAUUGCUCAAUGCACCAGUCAAAAUACCAGUUAAAAAGAUUACAGAAUGAGUUAACAGAAAUCUGAAUUCUUUCUAAGUCCAGAAAAAAAAAAGGUUAUAUAUUCUAGCAGUAAUAAUUUGAAGAUAAAACAUGCAUGUAGCCUAAAUGGAGUGUUUAUUAAUGAUUUAGUGUUAUCUUAAGCUUAUUUAGCUAUCUUGUAAGGAAUUUCAUUACCAAAGUCCUUUACUGCCCCAAAUUAUCAAGAAGGUUUUAAUUAUGAAAAUAAACCUUUAGCAUUAUAAAAGACCUCUUUUAUGUGUUAUUUUGUGUUUACUUGAAGAUUUCUUCUUUAAAUAUAUACUGAUUAUACUGGUGAUAUAUUAGCAAGAGAUACACACUCAUUAAUGUAUUAAGAGGUGACAUGCCAA